CCCACAUAACACAAAUACACAACCGCGGCAAAGGAGUGAGGGUCCGCCAACCGGGGCCUCGCAACGUGCAUGGAGGGCGGGCAGAAGUUUUGAGCCCCCUCGAAGCUGAACGGCAACAAAAGUGAAAAGAGGACGCAACAAAAGGUUCGGCCGUGGACUGAGCUGCCGCAGCCAUUAUCGGUUCAGGGGUUGAACAAAACGAGAUGACGACAAAACGAGUGACUCCGAGAACACAAAAAAAAGGCGACGUGAUAAGCAGUCGGGCAACCCAGUGUCUCCGUGGCACCCAGCUAUCUGCGCUCCUUCCUCCACCUUCUUCAAAGCCCUGCAUGCAUGCAUGGACCGGCAGCAGCAGGUAGGGGUUACGUUGCUGCUGCUGCACAACCAGAGGGCAUCGACAUUUGUGACUGCUGCUCUGGGAGGAUUCUUUCAUCCACUGCUGGGCCUUCGAGGGCAGAGUUCGCAGCCUCAAUCAGUCACGGCAUCAAUGCAGCGGUUCUACUGGGCCGGGACACCACGGGGGUGAUGACACUGCACCGACUCUGCUUAGACGGGCAAAGCGAAGCUGAAUCUGAAGCUGGGUGUCAAGAUCAGCAGCACUUUGCAAGUCAUUGCUUAGUAGUUACAUUUCAAGAGUGAAUUGGAACGAUCCUUGGAACGUCCGGCUCUCUAGAUCCUUUUGCCCGUGUUGCCAGAUGAAGACAUGUUUACCAAACGUUGCAGGAGGUUGACAAAUGACACACACGGUCUGGGUGGAAGUCAGACGGCAGACACUAAGGCAUCUCCUGUCAAUGAAUAGUGACACUUGCUGAACUGGACUUACAAGUAGGCCGACUUCUUUAGAUUACGCUGCUUUGAAUUCUCUCUCCACCCACCCCUCAGAAAAAAAGCUGUAUUUUUAAGAUAAAUUCAGGCGGUGCUUGGUCCUGAUUUUCUUGUCACUUUAAAAUCCGGAGGGUCUCUCUGGUGUGACCUGUGGUAGCGUGCAAACAUUCCUUUACCUCACCAGAGUCACUCUGAUCCAAUCAGCAACUGAACCGCAGGAAUCUCCAAAAUGUUAUGACGUAACCGGCUAAAACCGGGGGAAAAAACAACUCCUGUCGACCACUUAAUGUUAGUUUAAGUGUUUUAACUUUACCUUUGCAUUCCAGCAUUCUUUCAACCUGUUUCAGACCUGACCCAUCCACUAAUAAAAGUCAAACAACAUGCAAA
This is a long non-coding RNA of Gasterosteus aculeatus aculeatus (three-spined stickleback), 1212 nucleotides long. NCBI's taxonomy places the organism in Eukaryota, Metazoa, Chordata, Actinopteri, Perciformes, Gasterosteidae. The record is from Ensembl.